This is a long non-coding RNA of Rattus norvegicus (Norway rat), 4372 nucleotides long. RefSeq lists it as uncharacterized. The record is from RefSeq and is a predicted model, not a curated record. Lineage: Eukaryota; Metazoa; Chordata; Mammalia; Rodentia; Muridae.
CCCAGAUUCUGUCUGACUCCCAGGAUCUGACCAAGACCUUGGGCUUCCUGCCUACUCACAUUGCGGUUAAAGCUGUUGCCAGGCAGAAGCGGUAGAGCCAUGGCUGUCACAGUCCGAAGAGGAUCAAGGGUCCGACCAGAGAGAGAAGAUAGUUAAUGCCCUCAACCGCCGCUUGUUUGACCCCCCGCGUUACCUGGAGACCGGAGCUUCAAGAAACCUCUACCUGUUUCCACCAGGCAAGACUGGGGUUUUGAAAAUCACUCUGUCUUCUAGAAACAUGCCUGCCUUUCCAUGCUUCAACAAGGCAAAAGCACAACAGAUGAAAAAGCAAGCAAAUGGAGCAAAUGUGGGAUUGACACAGAAAUGAAGACUGCAAAUGAAUGGUAACAAUAUACUCCCAUCAAGGAAGAUAGGGAAUGAUUGAUGAAUGAAUAACUGAAUGUCUUCCAGAAAUAGCAAAUGAAAAUUUAAAGAAUCAGAUACAUUUAAAGAGAGACUUGGUGACUUGGAAUACAUGUCAUGAGGAAUUUCCAAAGAUGCAGCAGAAAGAGACAAAGAUGCAGAGAUACUAAUAAAAUGUAUUGAGAUAUGCUUAAAAGCAUGAAAUGGUACACUUUAAUUUCUAGAAAUAGAAAUUAAAAAGAGUAUGGACAACAUGACCUAAGUUGUAAAUAUGAAUUUUUUAAGGUGACUAAAGUAAAUGAAUCCUCAGUUAUAGAACAAACUACGGAUCAUCACUCAAAACCUGAAAAAAACAUCAGCCACAAGGUUUACAAUGAAAGAUUUAGACUAUGCCGUAACUUGUCAUCAUCAACAUUACAGAGAGAGUUAUUGACAAAUCAAAAAAACAAAGCGAACUAAAACUGCAAUUCUAUCUCUCAUAUUGCUGACAGGAAAACAAGAUGCUAUAGCUGCUCUGAAAAUCAUCAGGCAUUUUGUAUACAUAUAAACAAAUAUGUUCUUUUUCAUGAAAAAAUAGCCUUUAUUAUUAUCACAUGCUAUUUGUUGCUUAGUGCACAAUCUUGUCUCCUACCCCCUGCAAUCCUGUCCCAUAAUUCCAACAAAUCUCUCCAGCCCUUUCUCUAACUUCUCUCACUCUUCCUCAUUCUCUACCUCUCUCACACGUUCUUUGUUAUGUUUUUAAUGUUUUAUUAACAUGUUUUAAAUUUACUCUUUCCUUACAUAUCACAUCCAGACCACAGCUUCCUCUCACUUAUCCCCUCCAAUCCCUCCACCAGCUCCAUUCCUUCUCUGUUUCUCUUCAGAAAAGGUCAGGAUUCCUAUGGAUGUCAACUAAACAUGGUAUAUCAAGUUGCAAUAAGGCCAGGCGCUGCCUUGUAUAUUAAGGCUAGAUGAGGCAACCCAGCAGGAGGAAAGGGUCCCAAGAUCAGGCAGGCAAAAGAGACAGAGACAGCCCUGCUCCCACUGUUAAGAGUCCCACAAGGAGACCAACUACACAAGAACCAGAGAGAGGGCCUAGGUCAGUCCCAUGCAAGCUCUCUUGUUGUUGGUUCAGUCUCUGUGAGCCCCUUGAAGCCAGGUUAGUUGAUUAUGUGGGUUCUCUUGUGAUGAUGUUCUUGUCUCCUCUGGUUCCUACAAUCCCUAUAUCCCUGGCCUCUCCAAGACUUUUGUGAUGAAGGAAUGUUUGGACUUUGUGAAAGGCUUUUUCAGCUGAGGACCUUUUUUCCUGUUUAUUUAUAAUAGUGCAUUACAUUAAUGGAUUUUUGUAUAUUGAACCACCGCUGUAUCCCGUGGAUGGAGCCUACUUGAUUAUGGUGAAUGAUAUUUUUGAUGUGUUCUUGGAUUCAAUUUGCAAGUAUUUUAUUGAGUAUUUUUGCAUCAAUGUUCAUAAGGGAAAUUGGUCUGUAAUUCUCUUUCAUUGUUGAGUCUUUGUGUAGUUUGGGUAUCAGGUGACUGUGGCCCCAUAAAAUGAUUUUGGCAAAUGUUCCUUCUGUUUCUAUGUUGUGGAAUAAUUUGAGGAGUAUUACUAUUAGGUCUUCUUUGAAAGUCUUGUAGAAUUUUCACUAAAACCAUGGCACUGGCUGGGCUUAAAAACAAAAACAAAUAAAAAAACCAGCUAAACAAGUAAAACACAAAAAUCCUUCUAUUGAUUCUUAGUGAAUUUCAUAUCACGCACCCCAUCGCAUAUCCCCAUCCCUUCCUAUCCACCAUCCAUCCUUGCAACCCCCUACAAAAGAAAACAAAAAAUAAAUAAAAACUUAUCAUGGAAGCUAAGAUGUAUCAGUGUGUCACACGUUUACUCUUUUGUCCAAAGAUCAUUGCUUGCAAAUGUUCAUUGCGCUGAAUCAUAGUUCCAGUUUGAGGCCUCUGGCUUCUGCUCCAUCAAUUACAAAUCUUCACUGGGACUCCUCUUGAAUAUCGAGUUGUUGCUCUGUGUCAUGGAGAUCUUGAAACUUUGAUUCUGCAGGACCAGCCCUUUCAUGUGCUCAUAGACAGGGUUCAUAGUUAGGGUACAUGUUGGGGUGGAACAUCAGCUACCACACAAGUUGAGAGACUUUUAAUGACUGUUUCUAUUUCCUAGGGGUAAUAGGACUAUUUCAAUUGUUUGCCUGAUCUUGAUUUAACAAUUUUGUAGAGUACCAGUUUUGAAGUAAGACCUAAUGAUUCUUUGGAUUUCUGUGUCUGUUGUUAGGUCUCCCUUUUCAUUUCUGAUUUUGUUAAUUUGGGUACUGUCUCUCUGCAUUUUAGUUAGUUUGGCUAAAGGUUUGUCUUUCUUCUUGAUUUUCUUGUAGAACCAACUGUUCCUUCCAUUGAUUCCUUGUUUCUAAUUGAUUGAAUUCAGCCCUGAGUUUGAUUAUUUCCUGCCCUCUACUCUUCUUGGGGUGUUUGCUUCUUUUUUCCCUAGAGUUUUCAGGUGUACUUUUAAAUUGCUGGUAUGAGAACUCUCCAAUUUCUUUAUGGAAGGCAUGUAGUACUAUGAACUGUCCUCUUAGCACUGCUUUUACUGUGCCCCAUACAUAAGUUUGGGUAUGUCGUGCCUUCGUUUUCAUUUAAUUCUAGAAAGUCUUUCAUUUCUUUUUUUUUUAUUAUUAACUUGAGUAUUUCUUUUUUUUUAAUUUAGAGAAUACUUUAUUAGUUUUUGUAAUCAAACCCACGUAUAUAAGACCUUACAUAUUUAAUACAGUGUGUUACCCCUGUACAAAUGGAAAAAAACUUAAGUUCAACAUUUCUAGACCAAUAUGGCUGUUAAUUUCUGUACAGUGCCAACUCAACACAGUAAACGGGGAUACUUUUUUCGAAAGUUGACAGCACAGGUAAAGUUUCAAAAAAUUCAAAUUAUAUAUCUGUAUAUAUAUUUAUAUUUAUAUAAAAAGACCAAUAAUAGCAGUGUGUUAUGCAUCAACAGCAGCAACGGCUUUUCCAGGUUCUGCAGUCAUCUGAACAAAACUGUAGAGACAUCCAGCACACUCCAUUAAAAAAAAAAAGUAAAAAAACAAAACCCGAGAAAACAGCACAGUUCUGUUACUCUUGUGGUACCUGGCACCAUUUUUUUUUUAAAUUAGCUUCUCAAUCAUCAUCUGGAAAGAAAACAUUCUGAGCAACAUCAUUAAAAACAGCUCUGAUAAAGCACGGUCAGUACUAUGUAUCAUAAAGCAGGUACAAGCUAUUUUACAUCCACAGAGGUAUGAUACAGUACUGUCCUACAUCUAUAAUACUAGAGGAUACAAUUUAAAAGGCAUUAUUUGAGACUUGAUUCUACUUUUCCAGCAGAGGGCCCAAAGGAUGGUGUGACACAGCUUUGUAAAGAAACAUACUCUAGACAGGAUUUCCUUUCACUAGUGGCACAGUUCUAAGGAUUCAUUCUCUCCAUGAAUGUCAGCUAAAACCGUUAUUAAAAAAAUGAAAUAUCCCUAAAACAAAACCGUAUAACCACCGGAUUCACAUGAAGAUGACAAGCUGGACCUCACCUUACCAACAAGCUAUCAAAUCUGUUAUGUUUAAACAGUGAGACCUCCAAGGAGAUGCCAAGUAGUGCUUCAAAGCUUCGGACCACAAUCAAACACAGCAUCCUUUUCAACAGAAGCAGAAGCUCAUCUGAAUAUGCUCAUGGAUGCUGACAUCAACAUUUAAUCAUCUCCUCACUCAUCCAGGAAGAGGGGGAGAUCAGUUACUACUGUACUUUAUUGUGUUCAACCAAAUCACCAUGUUACAAAAAUAGCAAGCUGCCAUAAUAAAAAAUAAGGCUCCUCUAUCCAGCACCAUAUAGCAUCAUUUUACUUUCAAGCCUAGAAAUUGCACACUUGUAUAUAAACCAAUCGAAGAUGACAAAAUCAUAGAAGAAAACUCCCCUAACCUAAAAAAAGAGAUUCCCAUAGACAUACAAGAAGCGCUCCUAAUUUCUCACUCUGCU